AAAGCAUGCGGUUUUGCUUUUUUCAGGCAAGUAAUUGUCGGCUUUGCAUCGACAGAGUCUUACUCGAGGUUCAUGAUGAUGGUGGCUUUGAUGUGUGUUGGUGCCAUGUGUUUUGUGUGUCUGUUCGGCCUGUUCCUCAAGCACAACAGCCGCAGUAAUUCAGGUUCUGUUCUCCACGGCAUCAGGACUAUAUCAAACCCAGUGGCGGAUGGCCACCAGAGAAUACACCGUGAUCUUCCAGAUGUACCCUAAUUUCAAAGUGAAAAAGAGGAAUUUUACAGACCCACAAACACAGAAGCGGUUGACAGAGACUCAACACGAACGGAAGAUGAGAUCUACACAGCAAUAGACAGAGUCUCACAGCUGAUUCUUCUUCAUGAAUCGAUCUAUCACACUAUUGAUC
RNAcentral lists this long non-coding RNA (403 nucleotides) under Sinocyclocheilus grahami. RNAcentral describes it as "lncRNA (ENSSGRG00000018574.1)". Lineage: Eukaryota; Metazoa; Chordata; Actinopteri; Cypriniformes; Cyprinidae. The record is from RNAcentral.